Molecule: non-coding RNA, 86 nt
Organism: Hymenopellis radicata
Lineage: Eukaryota; Fungi; Basidiomycota; Agaricomycetes; Agaricales; Physalacriaceae
Source: the annotation of a GenBank genome assembly
GCGACUUUAGCUCAGCUAGUAGAGCAUGAUACUUUGGUGAAUUCAACCAAUACUUUCAGAUGCUUGUUCAAGUCAGGCUGGUCGUA